Molecule: ribosomal RNA, 253 nt
Filed under: uncultured bacterium
Lineage: Bacteria
Description: partial 16S ribosomal RNA
Rfam family: Bacterial small subunit ribosomal RNA
Source: RNAcentral
UACGUAGGGCGCAAGCGUUGCCCGGAAUUAUUGGGCGUAAAGAGCUCGUAGGCGGGUUGUUACGUCUGCUGUGAAAACCUAGGGCUUAACCCUGGGCUUGCAGUGGAUACGGGCAGACUAGAGGUAGGUAGGGGAGAAUGGAAUUCCUGGUGUAGCGGUGAAAUGCGCAGAUAUCAGGAGGAACGCCGGUGGCGAAGGCGGUUCUCUGGGCCUUACCUGACACUGAGGCGCGAAAGCGUGGGGAGCGAACAGG